UGAGGGCCCCUCUGCGUGUUCACAGCGGACCUUGAUUUAAUGUCUAUACAAUUAAGGCACGCGGUGAAUGCCAAGAGAGGCGCCUCC
Molecule: microRNA precursor, 87 nt
Organism: Bos taurus (domestic cattle)
Lineage: Eukaryota; Metazoa; Chordata; Mammalia; Artiodactyla; Bovidae
Gene: bta-mir-124b
Product: bta-mir-124b
Source: Ensembl